RNAcentral lists this ribosomal RNA (507 nucleotides) under uncultured bacterium. RNAcentral's name for it is "bacterial SSU rRNA". It matches the Rfam family "Bacterial small subunit ribosomal RNA", at positions 28 to 581 of the family's 1533-position model. The record is from RNAcentral.
AACGAACGCUGGCGGCAUGCCUAACACAUGCAAGUCGAACGAGACCUUCGGGUCUAGUGGCGCACGGGUGCGUAACGCGUGGGAAUCUGCCCUUGGGUUCGGAAUAACUUCGGGAAACUGAAGCUAAUACCGGAUGAUGACGUAAGUCCAAAGAUUUAUCGCCCAAGGAUGAGCCCGCGUAGGAUUAGCUAGUUGGUGAGGUAAAGGCUCACCAAGGCGACGAUCCUUAGCUGGUCUGAGAGGAUGAUCAGCCACACUGGGACUGAGACACGGCCCAGACUCCUACGGGAGGCAGCAGUGGGGAAUAUUGGACAAUGGGCGAAAGCUUGAUCCAGCAAUGCCGCGUGAGUGAUGAAGGCCUUAGGGUUGUAAAGCUCUUUUACCAGGGAUGAUAAUGACAGUACCUGGAGAAUAAGCUCCGGCUAACUCCGUGCCAGCAGCCGCGGUAAUACGGAGGGAGCUAGCGUUGUUCGGAAUUACUGGGCGUAAAGAGUACGUAGGCGGUGA